Molecule: long non-coding RNA, 1907 nt
Filed under: Manihot esculenta (cassava)
Lineage: Eukaryota; Viridiplantae; Streptophyta; Magnoliopsida; Malpighiales; Euphorbiaceae
Description: long non-coding RNA (MESC_LNC001337)
Source: RNAcentral
UUUUUUUUUUUUUUUUUUUUCUGAAAUGUUAUUUAAUCUUAAACUCUGGAGUACUAAAUUUAUUUUGUAUUGGAGCAAAAUCAUUGGGAUUACAAAUAAUCACAAACUAUGUUAUAGGAGAAAUGAUUAUGAUAGAAACUAAGCGUGCUAAGGCAAUUGUCUCCUAAAAGUGUGAUUACCAUUUUACUUAUUUCCUAAUAAAGCUCUCCCAAAUAAUCACAUGGUUUGUUAUAGGAAAUAUUAUAGUAACAAAAAUCAAGUCAAUUAAGGGAAUUUUCUACCUUUAGAAGUAAGAUUGCCAUUCACUUAUUUGCUUAUGGUCUCUAAUCUUUGACUAUUGACCAAGUAUUGUUCCAGUUUUGGAGCUAACUGUUGGCAGUUUCAUUUCGUAACCAUGUGAAUGUUAUCAGCUAGGAUAGUGUUAAAUUUAAAGCAAAAAGCUGCUAAAGCUUUAUAAGCUAGGAUAAUUUUAUCAUUUAUGAGGUUAUGUAAAUGAAUUUUACUUUUCAUUUUAAAACUUGUUUCUGCUUGUUAUUUCAUAAUAGGAAUUUCAUGGGAGACUUCUUUUGUUAAAUGAACUUCUCCCAGCAAAAUUGUUCUGAGGAUCACAUGGUCUUUUGUCAAUUACUGGGUUUUUAUAACUCAACUCCCCCAUUGCUGAAGAAAUAUAACGUGGGAAUGGAAGAAGUUUUUAGCCAUUGAAAUAAAUUUUUGAAUUUGGCAAGUGUUUCAGAUUUUAGUCUCACAGGAUACAGCAGUACUACACUGGAAAAUUCAUCAACAAGAAUUACAUAAUAUUUGAAUAAAGAAUUAGAGACAUUAAGAGAAGUCCCGACAUUGUCUGAAUAAAUGUGAACAAGACAAUGCCUGCACAGAAAAGGGAAGUUUAUAAUGCUGCCAAGUCAACAUGUAGACCAAUAUUAUAGAAUUAUUAAUUGAUGGUGGUAUUUGUUGAAACAGGAAACAUUUAUUCUAUGCUUGUUAUUAACUUGCCUGAUUAACUUUUUUAAGAACUGGUGUCUUUUUACCAUGAAUUUAAAAUCAAGCAUGCAUCUUGGCUUCAGAAAUAUUUCAUUGGUUUCAACUCCAUAAAAGAACCAGGUCUGUGGUUUGUUUUGUGGUAAGGAAUUAAGAAAUGUUAGGUUGCCAAUUGGAUAUUUUCUAUGUCUCUGUGUGAAGGCUGAUUUUAAGUUAUCUUGGUUAAGGUAGGAAAUGUCAUCAUCUGAUGUAAGAAAAUGAAGGAAAAAAAAUUCCCAUUGUGGAUGACCCAACUAGCUUGGGACUGAGAGUGAAUUCAGUUCAUAUUUGUAUAUAUGAAGAGGUAAAAUGUAUACUAGAGUGGGACUAGAGUCAUUGGACAUACUAAGAGAUUGUUUGACAUUGUUUUUGGAGCUGUUGUUUAAAAGCCCUUGCUUAUAUAUAUUUGUUAGUAAGUGUUAAAAAUUUAUAUGAAACAAAUUGGGAAUGUUUUAAUCAUAAGAAUUCUAAAUAAUGAAAUAACUUUGCACCAGUGGACCUAAAUAAAAAGGCAUCCAUUAUAAAUUUACGUAAUGAUUUAGGAAUUUAUUUGUAAAUUUUUUGACUGCUUUGAGGAGUGUAGGCAGAGAUCCUGCUAAUGUAUUUUGUUGAGUUUGCUUAUAUAAUUUGAUGAUUAUUUGCUUCACUACUUCUGUAUUAUUUUUACUUUUGCUUUCAUCUGAUUGGAUGUAAAGGAUUCUCAGACCUCAUUAUCUGCAUUAUUUCUUGCUACUCAGACCUCAUUAUCUGCAUUAUUUCUUGCUACUGUCUGCAAACUGGUUGAUAAACUUUUAGUUAAUCAUUAGUUGAAGCUAUCUAGAUUUGAUGCUUCCCUUUUAUCUCCCUCCUUUUCCAUAUUCCCAGAUUUUCAUGUAAAAAUUCUUGUGUAG